GUCACGAUAGCUCAGGUGGUAGAGCAGCGGUGUACCAAGCCGUAGAUCGUGGGUUCGAAUCCCUCUCGUGCCA
Molecule: transfer RNA, 73 nt
Filed under: Cimex lectularius (bed bug)
Lineage: Eukaryota; Metazoa; Arthropoda; Insecta; Hemiptera; Cimicidae
Description: tRNA-Gly
Rfam family: tRNA
About the family: Transfer RNA (tRNA) molecules are approximately 80 nucleotides in length. Their secondary structure includes four short double-helical elements and three loops (D, anti-codon, and T loops).
Source: Rfam by way of RNAcentral